AUUGAACGCUGGCGGCAUGCUUUACACAUGCAAGUCGAACGGCAGCGCGGGCUUCGGCCUGGCGGCGAGUGGCGAACGGGUGAGUAAUGCAUCGGAACGUGCCCAGUAGUGGGGGAUAGCCCGGCGAAAGCCGGAUUAAUACCGCAUACGACCUGAGGGUGAAAGCGGGGGACCGAAAGGCCUCGCGCUAUUGGAGCGGCCGAUGUCGGAUUAGCUAGUUGGUGGGGUAAAGGCUUACCAAGGCGACGAUCCGUAGCUGGUCUGAGAGGACGACCAGCCACACUGGGACUGAGACACGGCCCAGACUCCUACGGGAGGCAGCAGUGGGGAAUUUUGGACAAUUGGGGCAACCCUGAUCCAGCCAUGCCGCGUGCGGGAAGAAGGCCUUCGGGUUGUAAACCGCUUUUGUUCGGGAAGAAAUCCUCUGGGCUAAUACCCCGGGGGGAUGACGGUACCGGAAGAAUAAGCACCGGCUAACUACGUG
This 484-nucleotide ribosomal RNA is filed under the name uncultured bacterium. RNAcentral's name for it is "partial 16S ribosomal RNA". It matches the Rfam family "Bacterial small subunit ribosomal RNA", at positions 28 to 507 of the family's 1533-position model. The record is from RNAcentral.